This 253-nucleotide ribosomal RNA is filed under the name uncultured prokaryote. Its description in RNAcentral is "partial 16S ribosomal RNA". It matches the Rfam family "Bacterial small subunit ribosomal RNA", at positions 547 to 777 of the family's 1533-position model. The record is from RNAcentral.
CCUCCUUUUUCUCGCUUUUCUCGGAAUUACUGGGCGUAAAGCGCACGUAGGCGGCUUUCUAAGUCGGGGGUGAAAUCCUGGAGCUCAACUCCAGAACUGCCUUCGAUACUGGAGAGCUUGAGUCCGGGAGAGGUGAGUGGAACUGCGAGUGUAGAGGUGAAAUUCGUAGAUAUUCGCAAGAACACCAGUGGCGAAGGCGGCUCACUGGCCCGGUACUGACGCUGAGGUGCGAAAGCGUGGGGAGCAAACAGGA